GAAAAAGGCAAGCAAUGCAUCUAAAAAUGAAAAUUUCAAGUUACAGCCACGUAUAGUUUUAAAAAGAGUUACAGUAUCUUCGCCUAGAUACAAAUUACGAUCAAAUUGUAGGAAUAAAGUGAACAAAUAAAGUGCUGCUGUACUUCAGUUAGAUAAACGUUACAAAUGUGAUAACAAAUGUUAAUCAUUUAAUUAAAAAAAAAAACCUGAAGUAGAUUUACCGUAAAAAUGUAUCUCAGGUAGAUGAUAUUUUAU
Molecule: long non-coding RNA, 255 nt
Organism: Polistes dominula (European paper wasp)
Lineage: Eukaryota; Metazoa; Arthropoda; Insecta; Hymenoptera; Vespidae
Source: RefSeq, a predicted model, not a curated record